Synchiropus splendidus (mandarinfish) is the source of this 1389-nucleotide long non-coding RNA. RefSeq lists it as uncharacterized. The transcript has 3 exons. The record is from RefSeq and is a predicted model, not a curated record. Lineage: Eukaryota; Metazoa; Chordata; Actinopteri; Syngnathiformes; Callionymidae.
GAGGGAGAGGUACGAGCGGAGGUUAUCUUCUCUGCAGGUCGACUCAAGUCAGCUGCUUUGUUUUGUCCUGCUGCUGUUGGACUUGUGACCUGACUGACCUGGACGUUCAUGUCAAGUUCAAGGUUCAUCUGCUUCAGUCACCAAACUCCUCACAGUGUCUCUCUACACUGGUGACAGGUCUCUUUGAAGCAAGAGUCGCGGAGCAUUUGGACACCAGUCCUGAUCCAGGACCCAGUGGAGUCAACAGGUUUCUGUCUUGUCUUUGUUGAUGUUGCGAUGAGAUGCUGCCUUGAACCUUGGCAGAACGAAGACAAAUCGCCUGUAGUGUGUAUGACUGACUUCUCUCAUGUGGAGUCUGCGUGCAGCUCUGUUGUUGUCGCUGCUCCAGUUGUUGACCUGUCUUGCCUCCAUCUUCUCUGCCUCUUCAGGUUUCUGUCCUCUGUUUUCUUCCCACCUCUGGCUCUCUGAUCUCCUUCCAUCUCUUCCUCCCCCCUCACCUUGUCACUCUGAUGCUCUGCAUCCUUCCCUUUCCAUCCAUGGAUGUAUUUGCUCCGACACAACAGAUCCUCUCUGAGGACCUCAACCUCUCACACUCUCUUCAGCACCAUCAGCAGAGCGACGAAGAAUAACUGGUCAAACACCGCCCUCGUGUGGUUGGACUUAAACACAACCAGUCAAUGAAAUAACCCACUGUUUGUCCAUGACGUCAUGACGCCUCCUCAUUGGUCAAUGGCUGGCCAACUGGCCCCGCCCCCGAGCGCCAGGUGAACUAGUCCGCUGAUGAGCAGCUUGGUGAACAGGUGGAUGAGGUGAACGACAGGUCAAACGUGUGUGAGCUGGAGGCUGCAGGUCACUGACAUGAUGCAGCAGUGUCUGCAAGAUGUUUCAUGGUCAUGUGGAAGAGAUGCAUGUGAGUUGUGUGGAAGUGUUUCCUCAGGAGAAGAAACCCUGCAGCAGCUGGAGGGUGAGACGUCACUUUGCCAUUUCAAGUGUUUCCUUUUGGAUUUUGGGCUCUUUGACAUCCUCAGAAGACCCAGACCUUUGUUGGUGUGAGACCAUGCUGCUGCUCACUUGCUUCCUCUUGUUCCAGGUAGCUGCACUCAGAAGGCCCCUGCACACAAACAGAGUCAAAUCUGGCUGCAGCACAGUAGUUGGUGACUCAGCACUUUUCAGUGAGGGGCAACUGACGUUUCUAACCAACUGUCUUGGUCCUGAAGCUCAGCAUUGGAGGUUGUAGUCCUCCUGAGGACUCUGAGGCUUCCUAGAGUGCCUGGUGACCCUGUGGCCCCUGUAUUCCUGGGGGCCUGUGAUGUGUGAAACUGAUCAUGCAGGAAUGUUCUGGUGCUUAUUUGCUGAGACAUCACUCUCAAGUUACUGAUGAACCUUCUG